GCCAGGCACCAUAGCAUGCACCUGUAGUCCCAGCUACUUGGGAGGCUGAGGCAGGAGGACUGCUGGAGGGCUUGAGCCCAGGAGUUGUGGGCUCCCAGGAGCAGGGGACCACUGGGUUGCCUAAGGUGGGGUGAACCAACACAGAUUGGAAAUGGAGCAGGUCAAACUCCUAUGCUGAUCAGUAGUGGGAUUGUGUCUUUGAAUAGCCACUGCACUCUAGCCUGGGCAACAUAGUAAGACCCUGUCUCU
Unclassified non-coding RNA from Cercocebus atys (sooty mangabey), 249 nucleotides. It matches the Rfam family "Metazoan signal recognition particle RNA". Rfam says of the family: The signal recognition particle (SRP) is a universally conserved ribonucleoprotein. It is involved in the co-translational targeting of proteins to membranes. The record is from Ensembl. Lineage: Eukaryota; Metazoa; Chordata; Mammalia; Primates; Cercopithecidae.